AAUCAACGCUGGCGGCGUGCCUCAGACAUGCAAGUCGAACGAUUAAAGCUCUCUUCGGAGAGUGCAUAGAGUGGCGCACGGGUGAGUAACACGUAAGUAAUCUACCUUUGAGUGGGGAAUAACCCGGGGAAACCCGAGCUAAUACCGCAUAAUGCAGCGGCAUCGCAAGAUGACAGUUGUUAAAGAUUUUAUCGCUUGAAGAGGAGCUUGCGGCAGAUUAGCUAGCUGGUAAGGUAAUGGCUUACCAAGGCUACGAUCUGUAACCGGUCUUAGAGGACGGUCGGUCACACUGACACUGAAUAACGGGUCAGACUCCUACGGGAGGCAGCAGU
This 332-nucleotide ribosomal RNA is filed under the name uncultured bacterium. Its description in RNAcentral is "bacterial SSU rRNA". It matches the Rfam family "Bacterial small subunit ribosomal RNA", at positions 32 to 355 of the family's 1533-position model. The record is from RNAcentral.